UAUAGUCUGAAGGGGAGAAAAGCAAAGCGGGCAUUUAAAGAACUUGCUGUCUCGAAAAUUGUUAUCAAGGCCUGUCUACGUGUUCACAAAGGUGUAAGUGAAAUAGACAUCGAGGAACAAAUUGCAGAGUAUUUGAAGCAUGCUCCACAGAAAUCCGGUGGCUCUAGAUACAAGGAUCGUAGGAACCAGGAGCAAGGAAGUGCAUAACUU
Dendronephthya gigantea is the source of this 210-nucleotide long non-coding RNA. RefSeq lists it as uncharacterized. The transcript has 3 exons. The record is from RefSeq and is a predicted model, not a curated record. Lineage: Eukaryota; Metazoa; Cnidaria; Anthozoa; Malacalcyonacea; Nephtheidae.